ACAGAGGUCCCAAGCGUUGUUCGGAUUCACUGGGCGUAAAGGGUGCGUAGGCGGUCGGGUAAGUCUGAUGUGAAAUCUCCAAGCUCAACUUGGAAAUAGCAUCGGAUACUAUUCGGCUCGAGGAAUGGAGGGGAGACUGGAAUACUUGGUGUAGCAGUGAAAUGCGUAGAUAUCAAGUGGAACACCAGUGGCGAAGGCGACUCUCUGGGCUGUAACUGACGCUGAGGCGCGAAAGCGUGGGGAGCAAACAGGA
RNAcentral lists this ribosomal RNA (253 nucleotides) under uncultured prokaryote. RNAcentral's name for it is "partial 16S ribosomal RNA". It matches the Rfam family "Bacterial small subunit ribosomal RNA", at positions 525 to 777 of the family's 1533-position model. The record is from RNAcentral.